This is a long non-coding RNA of Anolis carolinensis (green anole), 2427 nucleotides long. The record is from Ensembl. Lineage: Eukaryota; Metazoa; Chordata; Lepidosauria; Squamata; Anolidae.
ACUGUGAGAAGGGCUGUUCGGCAGUGGAACUCUCUCCCCGGGGCCAUGGUAGAGGCUCCUUCUUUGGAGGCUUUUAAGCAGAGGCUGGAUGGCCAUCUGUCGGGGGUGCUUUGAAUGUGAUUUCCUGCUUCUUGGCAGGGGGUUGGACUGGAUGGCCCAUGUGGUCUCUUCCAACUCUACUAAAAUGAUCAAAGAGGGAUUAGGUAACUAUUCAAUUUACUGGAAAGCUGCUCGACUAUAGUUCCAAUAAUAAUACAGAGAAAGCAAGCAGACAAUGCUUCCGUGAAUGUAAUGAAUCCGAACAGUGUAGGAAAUUCAGAGGGUGUAGCGUCAUUAAUGUUAAUUCCACGAAUGUUAAAAUCACAGAGGGGAACAAAUUUGUCGGUAUUAAAGCUGAUAAUGGAUAAAUAAUCGAAAGGAUUCUUAUACUAAACAUGAUUUGAAUGGGGCUGUUCCAUUCUCCUAGUUUCUAGUUUUCUAUAAUUCCCCAUUGAAUACAACAAUAUGGCGCUAUGGAUGCUCUCAAAAAAUAUCCUGAAAGAAUUCCCACAUGGAAAUGCUUGAUUUGAUUUCUGCUAGCAAGUGGAUUGUGGUUCAAAUUACCGUAUAUACUCGAGUAUAAGCCGACCCGAAUAUAAGCCAAGGCACCUAAUUUUAUGACAAAAAAAUCUGGGAAAACAUUGACUCCAGUAUAAGCCGAGGGUGGUGAAUUUCAGAAAUAAAAAUAGAUAUGGUAGAGUCUCACUUAUCCAACAUUCGCUUAUCCAACAUUCUGGAUUGUCAAACGCAGUCUGCCUUUUAGUAGUCAACUAGCUUUGCCCGGCCACGUGUUGCUGUGGCUUAUGGGAAUCCUUUGUUGGGCAGAUGGAAUAGCAGUGAAUUAUUAUUAUUAUUAUUAUUAUUAUUAUUAUUAUUAUUAUUAUUAUUAUUAAACUUUAUUUGUACCCCGCUAGCAUCUCCCGAAGGACUCGAUGUGGCUUACAAAGGCCAAGGUCUCAACACACAAUAUAACAAUACAAAACAAAAAGCAAAUUAAAAACAAUUAAAACAGUAUAAACAACAAGCAAUAACAAUACGCUAAAACACAAUAGAACUGAAUAGCCUUGCAGUCUCAAAGCCUGGCCGUUUUCUGGAGUAGCUGGAGCUGUUUGUUGUAUGAACGUAGAGGCAUGGAUGAGGGGUUGUGCUGCCAAGUUUAGUGUUUCUGGGAUGUGUAGUUUUGUUGUUUUGUCCUAGGCCAAAAUUUCAUUACCAUAUAUAUAUAAAAGAGUGAUGGAAUCCUGGCACCGAGCAAAACAACAAAACUAAACAACCCCCAACCUCGAAAUUUCACAACACAAUCCAUCAUCCACGCCUCGAGGUUGAAACCACAAAAUAUCACGUCACGAACCUCCACAGGGGCUAAAAAACCCCAAAAAAAUGGAGCUAUUCAGUGCAAUUUCAAUGGGCCACAGCAAUGCGUGGCAGGGCACAGCUAGUCCUUUUAUAUAUAUAGAUGUUUUUACAGUCAAUGUUUUCAAUACAUUGUGAUGUUUUGGUACUAAAUUCGUAAAUACAGGAACUACUACGUAGCAUUACUGUGUAUUGAACUACAUUUUCUGUCAAAUUUGAUGUUAAACAUGAUGUUUUGGUGCUUAAUUAGUAAAAUCACAACCUAAUUUGAUGUUUAAUAGGCUUUUCCUUAAUCCCUCCUUAUUAUCCAAGAUUUUCGCUUAUCCAAGCUUCUGCCAGCCCAUUUAUGUUGGAUUAAUGAGACUCUACUGUACCAAUAAAAUUACAUUCAUUGAGGCAUCAGUAGGUUAAAAGUUUAAAGUUUUUGAAUAUUUACAUCAAGCUCAUAUUUAAGAUAAGACUGUCCAACUCUGAUCAAAUCCUUAUUCUCAUCUUCUUCAAUGUAAAUGUGUUUAUGUAUCCUUUUAAUAAUAACAGAGUAAAAUAAUACAUGUAAUAAUAAUAAUAAUAAAUACAGGAAAAUAAUACAAGUAAUAAUAAGUAGAGUAAAAUAAUAAAUGCAAUAAUAAUAAUAUCAGAGUGAAAUAAUAAUAAUAAUAAUAAUAAUAAUAAUAAUAAUAAUAAUAAUAAUAAGGCCACCCUACUGGGAUCUGCACGCAUCAUCCGAAAAUAGAUCACACAGUCCUAGACACUUGGGAAGUGUUCGACUUGUGAUUUUGUGAUACGAAAUCCAGCAUAUCUAUCUUGUUUGCUGUGUCAUAUAAUAAUAAUAAUAAUAAUAAUAAUAAUAAUAAUAAUAAUAAUAAUAAAGUAAAAUAAAUGUAAUAGUAGCAACAAUAAUAGAGAAAAAUAAUAAAUAAUAAUAAAUACAGGAAAAUACAAGUAAUAAUAAAUGCAAACAGUAGAGUCUCACUUAUCCAACACUCGCUUAUCCAACGUUCUGGAUUAUCCAACUCAUUUUUGUACUCAAUGUUU